AACGCACAUUGCGCCCGCCAGUAUUCUGGCGGGCAUGCCUGUCCGAGCGUCAUUUCAACCCUCGAGCCCCCGGGCUUGGUGUUGGGGAUCGGCCGCACGCCGCUGCGGCCGGCCCCUAAAUGCAGUGGCGGCCUCGCCUCGCCUCCCUUGCGCAGUAGCAAAACCUCGCACUGGAGCGCGGCGCGGCCACGCCGUGAAACCCCAUCUCAUCAAGGUUGACCUCGGAUCAGGUAGGAAUACCCGCUGAACUUAA
Molecule: unclassified non-coding RNA, 253 nt
Filed under: uncultured fungus
Lineage: Eukaryota; Fungi
Description: partial contains 5.8S ribosomal RNA, internal transcribed spacer 2, and large subunit ribosomal RNA
Rfam family: 5.8S ribosomal RNA (bases 1-52)
Source: RNAcentral